Molecule: long non-coding RNA, 2650 nt
Organism: Triticum dicoccoides
Lineage: Eukaryota; Viridiplantae; Streptophyta; Magnoliopsida; Poales; Poaceae
Exons: 3
Source: RefSeq, a predicted model, not a curated record
CCUCCCUCCCCUCUCCGCAUCUCCCGGCCACCUCUACGCCCGAGGAGAUCGAGCGAGCGCCCGAGCGCGCCCGUCUUCGCAGCCUCCUCCCACGAUUCCCCGCACCCGAGCCCCACGAGAGGAGCUCUUCCUGUGGUUUUGCACGCCGGCGCCGGCGACCACCAGCCACAGCUUGCCAGAGCCAGCAGAUGAGUGCCACCCUUCUUCUCUGUUCUCUUCUUCCCAUGCUCUCUUUCUUCCUCCUUUUUCUCUCUCACACAUCUCGAUUACUCUCUCUGUCUCAAACAGUGCACUCCGCCGCCAUGGACCUUGCAGCGCGCCGCCCUGAUGCCAAGUCCCUCCUCGUCGUUCCUGCGCCGCCUAGCCGAAGCCUCGCCCAAGUCCAAGCGCCGCCGCCGUUUGCCUCCUCGCCAUGGCCUCCCCUGCAUCGUCUGCUUCGCGGACAGAGCUCCGUCUCCGUCAACGUGUCCUCCCGCCGUCUCUGUUCGCUGUCGGGCUCGAUCGACUCUAGCAGCACCCCCACGGUGACGCUCCGCUCGGCACCCGAGUAGUAGUCAUGUCCACGCGUUCUUGUCUUGAGGCGAUGGCAAUUUGUUUAAAACCGCAAGGCAGCUUUGCUUUCUACAGUAUCUCCUUCCUUGUUUUGUUCUGUGUAGUACGUCUUGGUUGGUCAAAAGCUACUAAAACAUUUACUGUUCUGUCGACCGAGGCCUGAGGCAGAGCUAAGGCUUGCCGAUUAUUGCUUACAACGCCAAGUUGCAAUUAGCUGGGAUGUGUAGCGUGGCUAGCUUGUGUUGAUUGGUUUUGAGAUAUAAUUGGAAACUGAUUGUGUGUCAGUACAACAAACGUGAUGUUUUUUUUGAAUAGCAAACGUGCUGAUGGAAGUGUCUUUUCAUACGUGAUUCUGAUUUGCACUUCUCGGUCAAAGGCAUCUCUAGUACGUGACACACUUUGGAUGUGCAAACUUGGUUUUGUUUUGCAUGCUUACUUGUUUAGUGAACUUGAUGCCAUGCUUAUUUCAUAUAUCUAAUAGUAACCUGCAAAAAAAUAUUGUAAUUGCCAAGCUUGAUUUGUUCUACUUGCCUGCUACAAACUAUUCAAAUAACUACUACUUAAUUAGUAGCAUGUAGACUGGAUUAUUAUUUUGUCAACAUUCUAUUCUAGAGAUAUUUACAAAAGCAUGUGUUGUCCAUCCCAUGUAGCAAUCACUGCUAGUUUGUAUUGAGCAAAUAGAGCACCGCACUGUAGCUAGCCUCGCGCGGCAGCUGCCGCCCGGGACGCGGUGUGCGUCGAGUGCAGUAUAGAUUUUCCAAUCUUUCUUUCAAAAUGACAAGUUGUAUUAGUACACCAUCAUGGGACAAAAGUAGCUGAACUGCACUUACUGUCAGGUCAGGGUGGUUUAUAGUGUUGCCUUUCAUCAAAAUCUCAAGGGGCCUUCUCAAAUCAGCUAUUAUUUUUUUCGCAUUUGCAGUGAGCUUUAACCGGAAAAUACCAUUAUCAGUCUUUUCGAAAUUGUAAGACACACCUGCAUGAAAUGGAAAACUAGUUACAUCUUCAAACUCACCAGUAGAUAUAAGCUUAAGCUUUUUGCAGUCUCAAACAAUCACACAAACAAUAUAAAUUCAGAAACGAAGCUACAUAAGAUUAGCAGCAUAACACUUGUGAUUUAGGCUUAUCAAGGAGAGGAAGGGGAUAUCCCUAUUUACUAAUGUUACAGAUUCUUGGAUGUGUACCUUGGUUGCAGUCUUGCAAGUGAUCACACAAAUACAUGUGUAAACUAGUGUAUCUACCAACAAACUCUUGCGGUGAUUCUUGAAAAUGAAUCACAUCUGAGCAGAAAUAACACAUAGUCCUGAAUUUAACAACAACCAAAAAAAACUUGCAUACCAAUAGGAACACCAAAAAUAUUGUAUGUACGCAUACUACCCCCAAUCAAAAUUACUUGCCAUAUUUAGCCCCUGAAAACAAACAAGGGCCAGUUCUGGCACUUUUCAUCUCUAAAGGAGAGAUGGUCAUUUAAUUGAGGAGUUGUAAACAUGACAUAUUAGUGAUGCAUCAUCAUUUAUUAUUUUUAUGGAGCAAACACACAUGAUAGGCUCAACAGCUGGCGUUGAGUUGUUAGAGCUCAACGCCAACAUAUAUGGUGUUGAACCGUGGCCUCCUUCCUUUGACCCUUGGGUGAAUUACAAAAGUGAGUGUUGGCUUGUUAUAUAACGAGCUGCAGUGCUUGGCCUAGAAAGAUUCUUCCAUACCCAGUAGCAGCGUUCAUCCUUUACUCUAUUUUUUCUCUUUUCUUUAUUCAUGCACGUACUGGUUUAACUUAUUUGCAAGCUUCUGCUCCAAGAUGGCAAUCACUGAUGCCUACUCUGUUGUUUCACCUUGUGCUACCGGGAAAAUCACAUGUGGUGGAUGGCUUGAGGCAGGCAAAAAUGACAACGACGAAGGUAGCGCAGUUCAGCGCCAUCCACUCUCGCGUUGAACACAAACAGCUCAACCCUGGGGUGUAUGGCGUUGAACGUGUUUGUUCCACAAAAGUGCUAAGUUUUUUCAAAUACCAAAGUGCUAACAUGAAAAGUUCUAUGGAACAAGAGGUACCAGAAGGUGGAGAACAAAAGAGUGAUGUUGGUGUUGUUGCUGACCUUUUCUCACU